RNAcentral lists this transfer RNA (70 nucleotides) under Stylosomus rugithorax. RNAcentral describes it as "tRNA-Ala". It matches the Rfam family "tRNA". Rfam says of the family: Transfer RNA (tRNA) molecules are approximately 80 nucleotides in length. Their secondary structure includes four short double-helical elements and three loops (D, anti-codon, and T loops). Further hydrogen bonds mediate the characteristic L-shaped molecular structure. tRNAs have two regions of fundamental functional importance: the anti-codon, which is responsible for specific mRNA codon recognition, and the 3' end, to which the tRNAs corresponding amino acid is attached (by aminoacyl-tRNA synthetases). tRNAs cope with the degeneracy of the genetic code in two manners: having more than one tRNA (with a specific anti-codon) for a particular amino acid; and 'wobble' base-pairing, i.e. permitting non-standard base-pairing at the 3rd anti-codon position. The record is from RNAcentral. Lineage: Eukaryota; Metazoa; Arthropoda; Insecta; Coleoptera; Chrysomelidae.
AGGGUAAUAGUUAAAUAUAACAUUUAAUUUGCAUUUAAAAAAUAUUGAAUAAAAUAUUCAAUUUACCUUA